GUAGGUGGCAAGCGUUGUCCGGAAUUAUUGGGGCGUAAAGCGCGCGCAGGCGGUCCUUUAAGUCUGAUGUGAAAGCCCACGGGCUCAGCCGUGGAGGGUCAUUGGAAACUGGGGGACUUGAGUACAGAAGAGGAAAGCGGAAUUCCACGUGUAGCGGUGAAAUGCGUAGAGAUGCGGAGGAACACCAGUGGCGAAGGCGGCUUUCUGGUCUGUAACUGACGCUGAGGCGCGAAAGCGUGGGGAGCAAACAGGAUUAGAUACCCUGGUAGUCCACGCCGUAAACGAUGAGUGCUAAGUGUUAGGGGGUUUCCGCCCCUUAGUGCUGCAGCUAACGCAUUAAGCACUCCGCAUGGGGAGUACGGCCGCAAAGGCUG
This 374-nucleotide ribosomal RNA is filed under the name uncultured organism. RNAcentral's name for it is "partial 16S ribosomal RNA". It matches the Rfam family "Bacterial small subunit ribosomal RNA", at positions 527 to 896 of the family's 1533-position model. The record is from RNAcentral.